UUCUGAGAUGUCUGCGGCCAAUUUAUCAAGACAAGAGCGAAAAAGUACUCUGUGGAAGCAUCUGCUAAGAUGUGUGAGGCCUUCGGCAUGCCUGUCAGGGAUCAAUACAAACCCUGGGCACCUCAUUUCACCUGCGAGCAAUACAAAAAACUCUGGAAGGAUGGUACAGAGGGGAAAAGAGAGCCAUGAAUUUCGCUAUCCCAAGAAUUUGGCGGGAACCCACUGACCACGCAAGCAACUGCUACUUCUGCAUGGUGGACCCUUCCAAACGUCGGACUGGCAAGAAUGCACCUACCAUCACGUAUUCGGACCUUCCUUCACCCAUCGCCCCGGUGCCACACUGCCAUGAGCUCCCCGUACCCACUCCUCCGGAGAGAGAGCAGCCGUCUUUAUAAGAGAGCAGCAAGUCUGAGAGCAACGAAGACGUUGUAGAUCCAGAUGACAAUUUCAGAAGUGGAGCUGAGGAGAGAAACCCAUACUACUCCAACCAAAAAUAACUCAACGACUUGAUCAGAUAUCUUGGUCUCACCAAGUCGAAUGCCGAGCUUUUGACGUCUCGGCUCAAGCAGUGGAACUUGUUUAAUGAAAGUGUGCAAGUCGCAGAUUAGAGGAAGCGUCACCAACCUUUUUGCAGCUUCUUCACCCGUCAAGAUGGGCUCUGCUUCUGCCACAAUGUGACCGGUCUGUUCGAGGCAAUCGGAAUCGCCUGUAACCAGAAUGAGUGGCGCCUCUUCCUUGACAGCUCAUCCAGGAGCCUCAAAGCCGUGCUGCUCCAUAAUGGUAACAAGUACCUGUCUCUUCCCCUAGCUCACUCGAUGCACCUCAAAGAGGAUUACAACAGCAUUAAGACCUUGCUGGAUCCCUUGAAGUAUGAUGAGUACGGCUGGGUGGUCAUCGGAGACUUCAAAAUGGUGGCAUUCCUGGUGGGUCUCCAAGUCGGUUUUACCAAGUUUCCCUGCUAUCUUUGCCUUUGGGACAGCAGGCACACCAAGGCGCAUUACCACAGGCGGGACUGGCCACAGCGGACCGAGUUCUCUGUGGGGGGAAACAACGUCAAGUGGGAGCCACCGGUGGAUCCCCGGAAGGUGCUGAUGCCACCACUGCACAUCAAAUUGGGCAUUAUGAAACAAUUUGUCAGAGCUGUAGAUAAGGAGUUGGCAGCCAUUAAGUAGCUUCAAGACUUCUUCUCUAAGCUGUCUGAGGCAAAGGUCAAAGCAGGUGUCUUCGUCGGACCACAGAAAAAGUAAGAUCCUGGAGUGCAAUGAAUUCCCCAAGAAGCUCACUAGUAAGGAGAAAGAGGCUUGGAACAGCUUUGUCGCAGUGGUUCGUGGCUUCCUGGGCAAUCACAUGGUCAAAAAGUAUGUGGAGCUGGUUGAGCCUCUGGUGAAGAACUACGGCACAAUGGGCUGUAGGAUGUCCCUCAAAGUCCAUAUCAUUGAUGCUUAGCUUGAUAAAUUCAAGAAAAUGGGAGCGUACUCUGAGGAGCAAGGCGAGCGCUUCCACUGGGAUAUACUGGACUUUGAAUGCCGAUACCAAGGAUAGUAUAACGAGAACAUGAUGGGAGACUACAUUUGGGGACUGAUUCGUGAAAGUGAUUUACAGUAUAAUCGUAAAUCUCGAAAAACUACUCACUUCUAAAUCUUUUGUAGUAAUUUUUGUAUUACUUUAGUAUAAAUACAUGUUAAUUUUGAUUCAUAUGUUGUUGUUUUUUUACUUUAUGUUAAUGAAAAGACACAAAUUUGCCUGUUUUCUCAUUGAAAAUAUGUACAUUUCAAAAUAGCACUAUCCUGGUCACAAAAGCAAAGUUUGUGGAGAAUAAUAGCCAUUUUAUAUACUUUUUAGGCAUAAGCAAUUCCGAAAUAACACUUACUACCUAGGAACAAAAAAUGUUACAUAGUGUUAUAAAGUGUUAUUUAACCCGAUGGUACUUGUUAAUAAAGACGUGCCUCCAACUCU
This is a long non-coding RNA of Lethenteron reissneri (Far Eastern brook lamprey), 1956 nucleotides long. RefSeq lists it as uncharacterized. NCBI's taxonomy places the organism in Eukaryota, Metazoa, Chordata, Hyperoartia, Petromyzontiformes, Petromyzontidae. The record is from RefSeq and is a predicted model, not a curated record.